RNAcentral lists this non-coding RNA (26 nucleotides) under Mus musculus (house mouse). The record is from RNAcentral. Lineage: Eukaryota; Metazoa; Chordata; Mammalia; Rodentia; Muridae.
UGGCACUGCAUCUCCGAACACCAUGG